UGUCACUUUAGCAGCACAUAAUACUAGAAUUAGAAUGACACAGAAAAGAUUAGCAUGGCCGCUGCACAAGGACGCAUUAUUAUUAUUUUUAAUGGACAAAAACACUU
RNAcentral lists this small nuclear RNA (107 nucleotides) under Myotis davidii. The record is from RNAcentral. Lineage: Eukaryota; Metazoa; Chordata; Mammalia; Chiroptera; Vespertilionidae.